AUGGGGAUUUCAUCAAUUAUGUCACCAGAGAGACCGGCCGUAGAGCUGACAGCAUUCAAAUCCUCAGGGAUGCAGUGCAUUAGCAGGUUUCUGAUUUUGCUCCACAUUAAGUGUCUAAGCAGGGCAUGCUUAGACUGUUUUCGAGAAGAUGCCACCCAGAAGCAUUACAGCUUUCCUCCCCACACUGGACACAUGAGCGAGGCAGAAACAGUGGCACCCAGGAAUAAAUGUGCUGCGGCAUUUCAGGCGCAGGAGCGGGGUCACGCUCAGCGAGACGGACCCUGAGCACAGGCAUUUGUGCUCUGUCCCCCACA
RNAcentral lists this long non-coding RNA (314 nucleotides) under Anas platyrhynchos (mallard). RNAcentral's name for it is "lncRNA (ENSAPLG00020002786.1)". Lineage: Eukaryota; Metazoa; Chordata; Aves; Anseriformes; Anatidae. The record is from RNAcentral.